ACCGAAGUCUGCAGACUCUAGGUAAUGAUCCUUCCGUAGGUGAACCUGCGGAAGGAUCAUUACCUAGAGUCUGCAGACUUCGGUCUGCUACCUCUUACCCAUGUCUUUUGAGUACCUUCGUUUCCUCGGCGGGUCCGCCCGCCGGUUGGACAACAUUCAAACCCUUUGCAGUUGCAAUCAGCGUCUGAAAAAACAUAAUAGUUACAACUUUCAACAACGGAUCUCUUGGUUCUGGCAUCGAUGAAGAACGCAGCGAAAUGCGAUAAGUAGUGUGAAUUGCAGAAUUCAGUGAAUCAUCGAAUCUUUGAACGCACAUUGCGCCCCUUGGUAUUCCAUGGGGCAUGCCUGUUCGAGCGUCAUUUGUACCUUCAAGCUCUGCUUGGUGUUGGGUGUUUUGUCUCGCCUCUGCGUGUAGACUCGCCUUAAAACAAUUGGCAGCCGGCGUAUUGAUUUCGGAGCGCAGUACAUCUCGCGCUUUGCACUCAUAACGACGACGUCCAAAAGUACAUUUUUACACUCUUGACCUCGGAUCAGGUAGGGAUACCCGCUGAACUUAAGCAUAUCAAUAAGCGGGAGGAAAAUCAUUACCUAGAGUCUGCAGACUUCGGUCUGCUACCUCUUACCCAUGUCUUUUAGAGUACCUUCGUUUCCUCGGCGGGUCCCCCGCCGGUUGGACAACAUUCAAACCCUUUGCAGUUGCAAUCAGCGUCUGAAAAAACAUAAUAGGUUACAACUUUCACAACGGAUCUCUUGGGUUCUGGCAUCGAUGAAAAAACGCACCCAAAUGCGAUAAAAUAGUUGUGGAAUUUGCAGAAAUUCAGUGGAAUCAUCAAAUCUUU
This 839-nucleotide ribosomal RNA is filed under the name Epicoccum nigrum. RNAcentral describes it as "eukaryotic LSU rRNA". The stretch from base 206 to 359 matches the Rfam family "5.8S ribosomal RNA". Lineage: Eukaryota; Fungi; Ascomycota; Dothideomycetes; Pleosporales; Didymellaceae. The record is from RNAcentral.